GCGGAUGUGGCGAAACUGGUAGACGCACUAGACUUAGGAUCUAGCGCCGCGAGGCAUGGGGGUUCGAGUCCCUUCAUCCGCACCA
RNAcentral lists this transfer RNA (85 nucleotides) under Bacillota bacterium. RNAcentral describes it as "tRNA-Leu". It matches the Rfam family "tRNA". Rfam says of the family: Transfer RNA (tRNA) molecules are approximately 80 nucleotides in length. Their secondary structure includes four short double-helical elements and three loops (D, anti-codon, and T loops). The record is from RNAcentral. Lineage: Bacteria; Bacillati; Bacillota. RNAcentral also lists the same sequence under 2 other names.